This 84-nucleotide non-coding RNA is filed under the name Marinomonas sp. S3726. Lineage: Bacteria; Pseudomonadati; Pseudomonadota; Gammaproteobacteria; Oceanospirillales; Oceanospirillaceae. The record is from RNAcentral.
CUUUAUGGUGGGAGUUUCAGGGGGUGCUUGCACCCGCCGUUUCUUUGUUUACGGUAAGACCAACCUGUUUCUCCUGCCACCCAA